AUACGGAGGGGGCUAGCGUUGUUCGGAAUUACUGGGCGUAAAGCGCGCGUAGGCGGGUUUGCAAGUUGGGGGUGAAAUCCCGGGGCUUAACCCCGGAACUGCCCUCAAAACUGUAGACCUAGAAUCCUGGAGAGGUGAGUGGAAUUCCUAGUGUAGAGGUGAAAUUCGUAGAUAUUAGGAAGAACACCAGUGGCGAAGGCGGCUCACUGGACAGGUAUUGACGCUGAGGUGCGAAAGCGUGGGGAGCAAACAGGAUUAGAAACCCGUGUAGUCC
Molecule: ribosomal RNA, 274 nt
Filed under: uncultured bacterium
Lineage: Bacteria
Description: partial 16S ribosomal RNA
Rfam family: Bacterial small subunit ribosomal RNA
Source: RNAcentral